ACAUGCAAGUCGAACGAACUCUGGUAUUGAUUGGUGCUUGCAUCAUGAUUUACAUUUGAGUGAGUGGCGAACUGGUGAGUAACACGUGGGAAACCUGCCCAGAAGCGGGGGAUAACACCUGGAAACAGAUGCUAAUACCGCAUAACAACUUGGACCGCAUGGUCCGAGUUUGAAAGAUGGCUUCGGCUAUCACUUUUGGAUGGUCCCGCGGCGUAUUAGCUAGAUGGUGGGGUAACGGCUCACCAUGGCAAUGAUACGUAGCCGACCUGAGAGGGUAAUCGGCCACAUUGGGACUGAGACACGGCCCAAACUCCUACGGGAGGCAGCAGUAGGGAAUCUUCCACAAUGGACGAAAGUCUGAUGGAGCAACGCCGCGUGAGUGAAGAAGGGUUUCGGCUCGUAAAACUCUGUUGUUAAAGAAGAACAUAUCUGAGAGUAACUGUUCAGGUAUUGACGGUAUUUAACCAGAAAGCCACGGCUAACUACGUGCCAGCAGCCGCGGUAAUACGUAGGUGGCAAGCGUUGUCCGGAUUUAUUGGGCGUAAAGCGAGCGCAGGCGGUUUUUUAAGUCUGAUGUGAAAGCCUUCGGCUCAACCGAAGAAGUGCAUCGGAAACUGGGAAACUUGAGUGCAGAAGAGGACAGUGGAACUCCAUGUGUAGCGGUGAAAUGCGUAGAUAUAUGGAAGAACACCAGUGGCGAAGGCGGCUGUCUGGUCUGUAACUGACGCUGAGGCUCGAAAGUAUGGGUAGCAAACAGGAUUAGAUACCCUGGUAGUCCAUACCGUAAACGAUGAAUGCUAAGUGUUGGAGGGUUUCCGCCCUUCAGUGCUGCAGCUAACGCAUUAAGCAUUCCGCCUGGGGAGUACGGCCGCAAGGCUGAAACUCAAAGGAAUUGACGGGGGCCCGCACAAGCGGUGGAGCAUGUGGUUUAAUUCGAAGCUACGCGAAGAACCUUACCAGGUCUUGACAUACUAUGCAAAUCUAAGAGAUUAGACGUUCCCUUCGGGGACAUGGAUACAGGUGGUGCAUGGUUGUCGUCAGCUCGUGUCGUGAGAUGUUGGGUUAAGUCCCGCAACGAGCGCAACCCUUAUUAUCAGUUGCCAGCAUUAAGUUGGGCACUCUGGUGAGACUGCCGGUGACAAACCGGAGGAAGGUGGGGAUGACGUCAAAUCAUCAUGCCCCUUAUGACCUGGGCUACACACGUGCUACAAUGGAUGGUACAACGAGUUGCGAACUCGCGAGAGUAAGCUAAUCUCUUAAAGCCAUUCUCAGUUCGGAUUGUAGGCUGCAACUCGCCUACAUGAAGUCGGAAUCGCUAGUAAUCGCGGAUCAGCAUGCCGCGGUGAAUACGUUCCCGGGCCUUGUACACACCGCCCGUCACACCAUGAGAGUUUGUAACACCCAAAGUCGGUGGGGUAACCUUUUAGGA
This 1429-nucleotide ribosomal RNA is filed under the name Lactiplantibacillus plantarum. RNAcentral describes it as "Lactobacillus plantarum 16S ribosomal RNA". It matches the Rfam family "Bacterial small subunit ribosomal RNA". RNAcentral also lists the same sequence under 1 other name. Lineage: Bacteria; Bacillati; Bacillota; Bacilli; Lactobacillales; Lactobacillaceae. The record is from RNAcentral.